RNAcentral lists this unclassified non-coding RNA (143 nucleotides) under Myrmecridium banksiae. RNAcentral describes it as "partial internal transcribed spacer 2". Lineage: Eukaryota; Fungi; Ascomycota; Sordariomycetes; Myrmecridiales; Myrmecridiaceae. The record is from RNAcentral.
CAACCCUCAAGCCUGGCUUGGUGUUGGGGCUCUGCGCCUGCAGGCCCUCAAAUUCAGUGGCGGACACGCUAGGUCUCCGAGCGCAGUAAUUCUUCUCGCUUCGGGCGUCCGGCGUGGGCUUGCCUCGCACCCCAUUUUAUCAA